Molecule: long non-coding RNA, 1630 nt
Filed under: Anas platyrhynchos platyrhynchos (common mallard)
Lineage: Eukaryota; Metazoa; Chordata; Aves; Anseriformes; Anatidae
Description: lncRNA (ENSAPLG00000022922.1)
Source: RNAcentral
UGAAAUUAUUUUUCUACUUGAGUAGUUUUCAAUUUAGAUUAAGAAAAAUCUGUGCUCCGUUAGCGACGCUGCAGUAAAUCACAAGCGAGCAGCACUCCGCAGCUGACAGCCCGAUCGCUUAUCGGAUGCAAACCUUUUUUCACGUUGACAGGCUCCAAGUGUGACAUUGAGCGAGGGCAGUGGCACCCGACGGGGCGAUGCCGCGCGGGAGGCGCCCCCCGCACGCACCUCGGCGGCUGUGCUACAGCUGGCAAAAAUGCCCCGGGCAUGGGGGCUCCAGCAGCACGGGGCCACCACCACCCCCCAGCGGGGCUCCAGCAGCUCGCUGCAAAACUGCCAGCAGCCAAAAAGAGCCGGGUGGGGGAAACCCAGCGCCAGGCUGUUUAGAGACCCCACCCUUGGCUCUCCUGGGGUUCCAGCUCUCAGACCUUGGGGCCCCCUCCCCAGCGGUUCCACCUCACCACGUUCACACCCAUCUGUGCCCGCAGCACUGCCUGCACGGGGCAGGGGGCUCAGCCAAAAUGACCACACGCUCACCUGCCCAUCACACGGCAGCGACACAGCCACACUGUGACGGUCCUCAUCGCUGGGAGUGGGCCCCCAUUGUGGGUCCCCAUCGUGGGUCCCCAUCAUGGGUCCCCAUCCCUGUGCACAGCUCCGCACUGCCACCAGCUCUGUGCCAGCACCCUGCAGGAGAGUGCCCGGGCUGGCACCAUCAAAAGGAGCAUUUGACAGCACACAAACCUUUUUUUUCUUUUUCCCCUCUGGUUCUUCCAGCUCGUUUAUCGCCUCUGCAGGGCAAGCAGAGCUGUCAUUGCCUGAACCUCACUCAUCCGUUUAACCUUGGGGGAAGGAACGCAUUUGUGCCAGAUAACAUGCAUCAGAUGGUGGCACGGGGAGCGCCUGUAGCUGCUGGGCCUGAUGGAUGGGCUACACGGGCCUCGCCUGACCUGUGCUUGUAUGUUAUCUGCAUUGCUGCAGGAGGCUUUUCAUCACGCCGACAGCUCCAGCAUCACCUGCCUGGCAGCGGCUCCUCGCCAGGCGCCGGCAGCAGCGGCCAGGAGGGGCCCGGCCAUGUGGCUGGGGCCGGCACCGCGGCACCACGGCCCCCACGGGAGGCGGCGAGCUGGAGUGAGGGGCUGAGAAGCUGCGGGGCCCGGGGCAGGGCUGGCACGCUGUGCCUGCACCGUGUGCCCGGCUGCGGCAGGGCUGGAGCAGCUGGCGAGGGACGGCGCUGCCUGACUCCAUCUCCAUCCCUCCGGGCGAGGACCUGGCUCCUGCCGGGGUGCCCACACCGCAGGGAGCAGUCACGGCUCUCACCCACGGGUGUCGGCAAGCCCCGGCUCUGCUGCUCCGGGGGCCGUGCGCUGUGCCCCACGAGGAGCUGGCUCCAGCACGGCACCGGGGCUGCGGACGCUGCCCGAGCAGAGGCGAGCGCAGCUCCCGGUGCCGGAGGCGGUGGAGCAAAGGCUGGGAAUAAACGACUGUGUUUAUGAAGCCCGUAAUGUAGCCAGCAAAAUCAGUCACUCAGCACAGCGCCGCCGCGCUAAUGGGAGGUUAUUUAUGGCACUUCCCUGCUGCUGCAGGAGCUCGGCAGCCCCCGCUGCCAGACCUCGCACCCCGGCUCAGG